Molecule: non-coding RNA, 72 nt
Organism: Peromyscus maniculatus bairdii (prairie deer mouse)
Lineage: Eukaryota; Metazoa; Chordata; Mammalia; Rodentia; Cricetidae
Source: the annotation of a RefSeq genome assembly
GGGGAUGUAGCUCAGCGGUAGAGCGCAUAUUUCGCAUUUAUGUGGUCCCGGGUUCGAAUCCCGGCAUCUCCA